AAAAAAACUCCGAGUCAUACGGCCUAAAGCGAAAGCCACGGCCGUGUGACCGGGGUGCAGCCGGAAACAGCUGCGCCUUCCGUUUUUGAAAAGGAGUAUAAAAUGA
RNAcentral lists this non-coding RNA (106 nucleotides) under human gut metagenome. Its description in RNAcentral is "Moco (molybdenum cofactor) riboswitch". It matches the Rfam family "Molybdenum/Tungsten riboswitch aptamer (Moco RNA motif)", at positions 7 to 125 of the family's 135-position model. The record is from RNAcentral.